UACGAAGGGAGCUAGCGUUGUUCGGAAUCACUGGGCGUAAAGCGCACGUAGGCGGAUUUGUAAGUCAGAGGUGAAAUCCCGGAGCUCAACUUCGGAAUUGCCUCCGAUACUGCCGUGCUUGAGGACUGGAGAGGAGAUUGGAAUUCACAGUGGAGCAGUGAAAUGCGUAGAUAUUGUGAGGAACACUAGUGGCGAAGGCGAAUCUCUGGACAGUUCCUGACGCUGAGGCACGAAGGCCAGGGGAGCAAACGGG
RNAcentral lists this ribosomal RNA (253 nucleotides) under uncultured bacterium. Its description in RNAcentral is "partial 16S ribosomal RNA". It matches the Rfam family "Bacterial small subunit ribosomal RNA", at positions 524 to 776 of the family's 1533-position model. The record is from RNAcentral.